UGGUGGCGAGCGGCGGACGGGUGAGUAAUGCCUAAGGAAUCUGCUGGUAGUGGGGGAUAACGCUCGGAAACGGACGCUAAAUACCGCAUACGUCCUACGGGAGAAAGCAGGGGACCUUCAGGCCUUGCGCUAUCAGAUGAGCCUAGGUCGGAUUAGCUAGUUGGUGAGGUAAUGGCUCACCAAGGCGACGAUCCGUAACUGGUCUGAGAGGAUGAUCAGUCACACUGGAACUGAGACACGGUCCAGACUCCUACGGGAGGCAGCAGUGGGGAAUAUUGGACAAUGGGCGAAAGCCUGAUCCAGCCAUGCCGCGUGUGUGAAGAAGGUCUUCGGAUUGUAAAGCACUUUAAGUUGGGAGGAAGGGCAGUUACCUAAUACGUAAUUGUUUUGACGUUACCGACAGAAUAAGCACCGGCUAACUCUGUGCCAGCAGCCGCGGUAAUACAGAGGGUGCAAGCGUUAAUCGGAAUUACUGGGCGUAAAGCGCGCGUAGGUGGUUCGUUAAGUUGGAUGUGAAAUCCCCGGGCUCAACCUGGGAACUGCAUUCAAAACUGACGAGCUAGAGUAUGGUAGAGGGUGGUGGAAUUUCCUGUGUAGCGGUGAAAUGCGUAGAUAUAGGAAGGAACACCAGUGGAGAAGGCG
Molecule: ribosomal RNA, 642 nt
Filed under: uncultured Pseudomonas sp.
Lineage: Bacteria; Pseudomonadati; Pseudomonadota; Gammaproteobacteria; Pseudomonadales; Pseudomonadaceae
Description: bacterial SSU rRNA
Rfam family: Bacterial small subunit ribosomal RNA
Source: RNAcentral